Schistocerca serialis cubense is the source of this 607-nucleotide long non-coding RNA. RefSeq lists it as uncharacterized. Lineage: Eukaryota; Metazoa; Arthropoda; Insecta; Orthoptera; Acrididae. The record is from RefSeq and is a predicted model, not a curated record. The transcript has 2 exons.
UCACUGAGCAGAUUUUUAAAGAGCCGCAGUAUUUUGACCGUGCAAAGGUAGCAUAAUCAUUAGUCUCUUAAUUAGUGGCUGGAAUGAUUGGCUUGAUGAGAAAUCAACUGUCUCUUAAUAAAUUUUUGAAUUUAACUUUUGAGUCAAAAGGCUUAAAUUUUUCUUUAGGACGAGAAGACCCUAUAGAGCUUAACAUUUUAUUUUUAUAUAGUUUUUUGUUUGUCUUUCUAUAUUUAAUGAUGAUGACAUGAUUGGGGUGACAUGAAGAAUAAAUAAACUCUUCAUUAUUAUAUCAUUUAUUUAUGUUUGUUGUUUUGAUAUAUAAUUUUUGAUCAUAAGAUUAAGUUACCUUAGGGAUAAGAGCGUAAUUGUUUUUGAGAGCUCAUAUCGACAAAGCAGAUUGCGACCUCGAUGUUGGAUUAAGAAAAAUUUUGGGUGCAGUAGCCCAGUAAUUAGGUCUGUUCGACCUUUAAAUUCUUACAUGAUCUGAGUUCAGACCGGCGUGAGCCAGGUCGGUUUCUAUCCUAAGAUUAUUAAUUCAUAUUAGUACGAAAGGACCAUUUGGUUGAAAAAUUUUUUAUUUUAUAGAUUAAUACUAAUUAAAUUA